UCUAUAACUCGAGAUAUGGGCUGAACACUGAACAAUGUCUGGGCUGCAGGACAGAUUCUGACUUCUCCGUUAUUGCUAAGAUUUGGACUUCCAAAAAACAGAAUUGAGUCUUGCACACCUCAUGAAUGUUUUAGGCCUUUGUCUUAGCUUUCUAGC
This is a non-coding RNA of Populus trichocarpa (black cottonwood), 156 nucleotides long. The record is from Rfam. Lineage: Eukaryota; Viridiplantae; Streptophyta; Magnoliopsida; Malpighiales; Salicaceae.